AAGAUUAAGCCAUGCAUGUCUAAGUAUAAGCAAUUAUACAGCGAAACUGCGAAUGGCUCAUUAUAUAAGUUAUCGUUUAUUUGAUAGUGCCUUACUACUUGGAUAACCGUGGUAAUUCUAGAGCUAAUACAUGCUAUAAGCCCCGACUUCGGAAGGGGCGUAUUUAUUAGAUUAAAAGCCAAUGCCCUCUGGGCUCACUGGUGAAUCAUGAUAACUUCACGAAUCGCACGGCCUUGCGCCGGCGAUGGCUCAUUCAAAUUUCUUCCCUAUCAACUUUCGAUGUUUGGGUAGUGGCCAAACAUGGUUGCAACGGGUAACGGAGGGUUAGGGCUCGACCCCGGAGAAGGAGCCUGAGAAACGGCUACUACAUCCAAGGAAGGCAGCAGGCGCGCAAAUUACCCAAUCCCGACUCGGGGAGGUAGUGACAAUAAAUACUGAUACAGGGCUCUUUCGGGUCUUGUAAUCGGAAUGAGUACAAUUUAAAUCUCUUAACGAGGAACAAUUGGAGGGCAAGUCUGGUGCCAGCAGCCGCGGUAAUUCCAGCUCCAAUAGCGUAUAUUAAAGUUGUUGUGGUUAAAAAGCUCGUAGUUGAACCUUGGGCCUGGCUGGCCGGUCCGCCUCACCGCGUGUACUGGUCCGGCCGGGCCUUUCCCUCUGUGGAACCUCAUGCCCUUCACUGGGUGUGCUGGGGAAACAGGACUUUUACUUUGAAAAAAUUAGAGUGCUUCAGGCAGGCCUAUGCUCGAAUACAUUAGCAUGGAAUAAUGAAAUAGGACGUGCGGUUCUAUUUUGUUGGUUUCUAGGACCGCCGUAAUGAUUAAUAGGGACAGUCGGGGGCAUCAGUAUUCAAUUGUCAGAGGUGAAAUUCUUGGAUCUAUUGAAGACUAACUACUGCGAAAGCAUUUGCCAAGGAUGUUUUCAUUAAUCAGGAACGAAAGUUAGGGGAUCGAAAACGAUCAGAUACCGUUGUAGUCUUAACCAUAAACUAUGCCGACUAGGGAUCGGACGAUGUUAUUUUUUGACUCGUUCGGCACCUUACGAGAAAUCAAAGUGCUUGGGCUCCAGGGGGAGUAUGGUCGCAAGGCUGA
This 1088-nucleotide ribosomal RNA is filed under the name Striatibotrys eucylindrosporus. Its description in RNAcentral is "SSU rRNA". It matches the Rfam family "Eukaryotic small subunit ribosomal RNA", at positions 40 to 1140 of the family's 1831-position model. Lineage: Eukaryota; Fungi; Ascomycota; Sordariomycetes; Hypocreales; Stachybotryaceae. The record is from RNAcentral.